GAUGAACGCUGGCGGCGUGCCUAAUACAUGCAAGUCGAGCGAACGGACGAGAAGCUUGCUUUUCUGAUGUUAGCGGCGGACGGGUGAGUAACACGUGGAUAACCUACCUAUAAGACUGGGAUAACUUCGGGAAACCGGAGCUAAUACUGGAUAAUAUUUUGAACCGCAUGGUUCAAAAGUGAAAGACGGUCUUGCUGUCACUUAUAGAUGGAUCCGCGCUGCAUUAGCUAGUUGGUAAGGUAACGGCUUACCAAGGCAACGAUGCAUAGCCGACCUGAGAGGGUGAUCAGCCACACUGGAACUGAGACACGGUCCAGACUCCUACGGGAGGCAGCAGUAGGGAAUCUUCCGCAAUGGGCGAAAGCCUGACGGAGCAACGCCGCGUGAGUGAUGAAGGUCUUCGGAUCGUAAAACUCUGUUAUUAGGGAAGAACAUAUGUGUAAGUACCUGUGCACAUCUUGACGUUACCUAAUCAGAAAGCCACGGCUAACUACGUG
This 497-nucleotide ribosomal RNA is filed under the name uncultured bacterium. RNAcentral's name for it is "partial 16S ribosomal RNA". It matches the Rfam family "Bacterial small subunit ribosomal RNA", at positions 28 to 507 of the family's 1533-position model. The record is from RNAcentral.